This 483-nucleotide ribosomal RNA is filed under the name uncultured bacterium. RNAcentral's name for it is "bacterial SSU rRNA". It matches the Rfam family "Bacterial small subunit ribosomal RNA", at positions 29 to 511 of the family's 1533-position model. The record is from RNAcentral.
AUUGAACGCUGGCGGCAUGCUUUACACAUGCAAGUCGAGCGGCAGCGCGGGGGCAACCCUGGCGGCGAGCGGCGAACGGGUGAGGAAUACAUCGGAACGUACCCCGGAGUGGGGGAUAACGCCGCGAAAGCGGCGCUAAUACCGCAUAUGCUCUGAGGAGGAAAGUGGGGGACCGCAAGGCCUCACGCUCUGGGAGCGGCCGAUGUCCGAUUAGCUAGUUGGUGGGGUAAUGGCUUACCAAGGCGACGAUCGGUAGCUGGUCUGAGAGGAUGAUCAGCCACACUGGGACUGAGACACGGCCCAGACUCCUACGGGAGGCAGCAGUGGGGAAUUUUGGACAAUGGGGGCAACCCUGAUCCAGCCAUGCCGCGUGCAGGAUGACGGCCCUAUGGGUUGUAAACUGCUUUUGUACCAGAGAAAACCUACUCACGUGUGAGUAGCUGAUAGUAUGGUAAGAAUAAGCAUCGGCUAACUUCGUGCCAG